This 497-nucleotide ribosomal RNA is filed under the name uncultured bacterium. RNAcentral's name for it is "partial 16S ribosomal RNA". It matches the Rfam family "Bacterial small subunit ribosomal RNA", at positions 28 to 507 of the family's 1533-position model. The record is from RNAcentral.
GAUGAACGCUGGCGGCGUGCCUAAUACAUGCAAGUCGAGCGAACAGACGAGGAGCUUGCUCCUCUGACGUUAGCGGCGGACGGGUGAGUAACACGUGGAUAACCUACCUAUAAGACUGGGAUAACUUCGGGAAACCGGAGCUAAUACCGGAUAAUAUAUUGAACCGCAUGGUUCAAUAGUGAAAGACGGCUUUGCUGUCACUUAUAGAUGGAUCCGGGCCGGAUUAGCUAGUUGGUAAGGUAACGGCUUACCAAGGCUACGAUGCGUAGCCGACCUGAGAGGGUGAUCGGCCACACUGGAACUGAGACACGGUCCAGACUCCUACGGGAGGCAGCAGUAGGGAAUCUUCCGCAAUGGGCGAAAGCCUGACGGAGCAACGCCGCGUGAGUGAUGAAGGUCUUCGGAUCGUAAAACUCUGUUAUUAGGGAAGAACAAAUGUGUAAGUAAAUAUGCACGUCUUGACGGUACCUAAUCAGAAAGCCACGGCUAACUACGUG